Molecule: unclassified non-coding RNA, 339 nt
Filed under: soil metagenome
Description: partial contains 5.8S ribosomal RNA, internal transcribed spacer 2, and large subunit ribosomal RNA
Rfam family: 5.8S ribosomal RNA (bases 1-120)
Source: RNAcentral
GAUGAAGAACGUAGUGAAAUGCGAUAAGUAGUGUGAAUUGCAGAAUUCAGUGAAUCAUCGAAUCUUUGAACGCACAUUGCGCCCUUUGGUAUUCCAAAGGGCAUGCCUGUUCGAGCGUCAUUUGUACCCUCAAGCUUUGCUUGGUGUUGGGCGUCUUGUCUCUAGCUUUGCUGGAGACUCGCCUUAAAGUAAUUGGCAGCCGGCCUACUGGUUUCGGAGCGCAGCACAAGUCGCACUCUCUAUCAGCAAAGGUCUAGCAUCCAUUAAGCCUUUUUUUCAACUUUUGACCUCGAAUCAGGUAGGAAUACCCGCUGAACUUAAGCAUAUCAAUACGGAGGA